CAGCCGUAAACUAUGCGCGUUAGGUGUACUGGUGACUACGAGUCACCGGGGUGCCGAAGGGAAACCGUGAAACGUGCCGCCUGGGAAGUACGGUCGCAAGGCUGAAACUUAAAGGAAUUGGCGGGGGAGCACCACAACGGGUGGAGCCCGCGGUUUAAUUGGACUCAACGCCGGAAAUCUCACCGGAUAGGACAGACAUAUGAUAGUCGGGCUGAAGACUCUACUUGAUGAUCUGAGAGGAGGUGCAUGGCGUCAGUGACU
RNAcentral lists this ribosomal RNA (261 nucleotides) under uncultured archaeon. RNAcentral's name for it is "partial 16S ribosomal RNA". It matches the Rfam family "Archaeal small subunit ribosomal RNA", at positions 748 to 1008 of the family's 1478-position model. The record is from RNAcentral.